This 497-nucleotide ribosomal RNA is filed under the name uncultured bacterium. Its description in RNAcentral is "partial 16S ribosomal RNA". It matches the Rfam family "Bacterial small subunit ribosomal RNA", at positions 28 to 507 of the family's 1533-position model. The record is from RNAcentral.
GAUGAACGCUGGCGGCGUGCCUAAUACAUGCAAGUCGAGCGAACAGAUGAGGAGCUUGCUCCUCUGACGUUAGCGGCGGACGGGUGAGUAACACGUGGAUAACCUACCUAUAAGACUGGGAUAACUUCGGGAAACCGGAGCUAAUACCGGAUAAUAUAUUGAACCGCAUGGUUCAAUAGUGAAAGACGGUUUUGCUGUCACUUAUAGAUGGAUCCGCGCCGCAUUAGCUAGUUGGUAAGGUAACGGCUUACCAAGGCAACGAUGCGUAGCCGACCUGAACGGGUGAUCGGCCACACUGGAACUGAGACACGGUCCAGACUCCUACGGGAGGCAGCAGUAGGGAAUCUUCCGCAAUGGGCGAAAGCCGGACGGAGCAACGCCGCGUGAGUGAUGAAGGUCUUCGGAUCGUAAAACUCUGUUAUUAGGGAAGAACAAAUGUGUAAGUAACUAUGCACGUCUUGACGGUACCUAAUCAGAAAGCCACGGCUAACUACGUG